This 416-nucleotide ribosomal RNA is filed under the name Pseudomonas sp. R-41734. RNAcentral describes it as "bacterial SSU rRNA". It matches the Rfam family "Bacterial small subunit ribosomal RNA", at positions 30 to 446 of the family's 1533-position model. Lineage: Bacteria; Pseudomonadati; Pseudomonadota; Gammaproteobacteria; Pseudomonadales; Pseudomonadaceae. The record is from RNAcentral.
AUUGAACGCUGGCGGCAGGCCUAACACAUGCAAGUCGAGCGGUAGAGAGAAGCUUGCUUCUCUUGAGAGCGGCGGACGGGUGAGUAAUGCCUAGGAAUCUGCCUGGUAGUGGGGGAUAACGUUCGGAAACGGACGCUAAUACCGCAUACGUCCUACGGGAGAAAGCAGGGGACCUUCGGGCCUUGCGCUAUCAGAUGAGCCUAGGUCGGAUUAGCUAGUUGGUGAGGUAAUGGCUCACCAAGGCGACGAUCCGUAACUGGUCUGAGAGGAUGAUCAGUCACACUGGAACUGAGACACGGUCCAGACUCCUACGGGAGGCAGCAGUGGGGAAUAUUGGACAAUGGGCGAAAGCCUGAUCCAGCCAUGCCGCGUGUGUGAAGAAGGUCUUCGGAUUGUAAAGCACUUUAAGUUGGGAG